UAGCAUUACUAGUAUUAGAGGCACCGCCUGCCCAGUGACACACGUUUAACGGCCGCGGUACCCUGACCGUGCAAAGGUAGCAUAAUCACUUGUUCUCUAAAUAGGGACUCGCAUGAAUGGCAUCACGAGGGUUUAACUGUCUCUUACUUUCAACCAGUGAAAUUGAUCUGUCCGUGAAGAGACGGGCAUGAAUUAAUAAGACGAGAAGACCCUGCGGASUUCAAAUUUAUUAGUACAACCAAAAACCAUACAGACCUACAGGUCCUUAAACCCUCAUACCUGUACUAAAAAUUUUGGUUGGGGUGACCUCGGAGUACAAUCAAACCUCCGAACAAUCCACGCUAAGACUACACAAGCCAAAGCAAACUAAUUCCUGCAAUUGACCCAACAAUUUGAUCAACGGAACAAGUUACCCCAGGGAUAACAGCGCAAUUCUAUUCUAGAGUCCAUAUCAACAGUAGAGUUUACGACCUCGAUGUUGGAUCAGGACAUCCUAAUGGUGCAGCAGCUAUCAAGGGUUCGUUUGUUCAACG
RNAcentral lists this ribosomal RNA (533 nucleotides) under Allochrocebus solatus (sun-tailed monkey). RNAcentral describes it as "partial 16S ribosomal RNA". It matches the Rfam family "Bacterial large subunit ribosomal RNA", at positions 1831 to 2586 of the family's 2925-position model. Lineage: Eukaryota; Metazoa; Chordata; Mammalia; Primates; Cercopithecidae. The record is from RNAcentral.